AGAGUUUGAUCAUGGCUCAGAUUGAACGCUGGCGGCAGGCCUAACACAUGCAAGUCGAGCGGUAGCACAGAGAGCUUGCUCUCGGGUGACGAGCGGCGGACGGGUGAGUAAUGUCUGGGAAACUGCCUGAUGGAGGGGGAUAACUACUGGAAACGGUAGCUAAUACCGCAUAACGUCGCAAGACCAAAGUGGGGGACCUUCGGGCCUCAUGCCAUCAGAUGUGCCCAGAUGGGAUUAGCUAGUAGGUGGGGUAACGGCUCACCUAGGCGACGAUCCCUAGCUGGUCUGAGAGGAUGACCAGCCACACUGGAACUGAGACACGGUCCAGACUCCUACGGGAGGCAGCAGUGGGGAAUAUUGCACAAUGGGCGCAAGCCUGAUGCAGCCAUGCCGCGUGUGUGAAGAAGGCCUUCGGGUUGUAAAGCACUUUCAGCGGGGAGGAAGGCGNNNNNNNNCGAUUGACGUUACCCGCAGAAGAAGCACCGGCUAACUCCGUGCCAGCAGCCGCGGUAAUACGGAGGGUGCAAGCGUUAAUCGGAAUUACUGGGCGUAAAGCGCACGCAGGCGGUCUGUCAAGUCGGAUGUGAAAUCCCCGGGCUCAACCUGGGAACUGCAUUCGAAACUGGCAGGCUAGAGUCUUGUAGAGGGGGGUAGAAUUCCAGGUGUAGCGGUGAAAUGCGUAGAGAUCUGGAGGAAUACCGGUGGCGAAGGCGGCCCCCUGGACAAAGACUGACGCUCAGGUGCGAAAGCGUGGGGAGCAAACAGGAUUAGAUACCCUGGUAGUCCACGCCGUAAACGAUGUCGAUUUGGAGGUUGUGCCCUUGAGGCGUGGCUUCCGGAGCUAACGCGUUAAAUCGACCGCCUGGGGAGUACGGCCGCAAGGUUAAAACUCAAAUGAAUUGACGGGGGCCCGCACAAGCGGUGGAGCAUGUGGUUUAAUUCGAUGCAACGCGAAGAACCUUACCUGGUCUUGACAUCCACAGAACUUUCCAGAGAUGGAUUGGUGCCUUCGGGAACUGUGAGACAGGUGCUGCAUGGCUGUCGUCAGCUCGUGUUGUGAAAUGUUGGGUUAAGUCCCGCAACGAGCGCAACCCUUAUCCUUUGUUGCCAGCGGUUCGGCCGGGAACUCAAAGGAGACUGCCAGUGAUAAACUGGAGGAAGGUGGGGAUGACGUCAAGUCAUCAUGGCCCUUACGACCAGGGCUACACACGUGCUACAAUGGCAUAUACAAAGAGAAGCGACCUCGCGAGAGCAAGCGGACCUCAUAAAGUAUGUCGUAGUCCGGAUUGGAGUCUGCAACUCGACUCCAUGAAGUCGGAAUCGCUAGUAAUCGUAGAUCAGAAUGCUACGGUGAAUACGUUCCCGGGCCUUGUACACACCGCCCGUCACACCAUGGGAGUGGGUUGCAAAAGAAGUAGGUAGCUUAACCUUCGGGAGGGCGCUUACCACUUUGUGAUUCAUGACUGGGGUGAAGUCGUAACAAGGUAACCGUAGGGGAACCUGCGGUUGGAUCACCU
Molecule: ribosomal RNA, 1517 nt
Filed under: Klebsiella pneumoniae
Lineage: Bacteria; Pseudomonadati; Pseudomonadota; Gammaproteobacteria; Enterobacterales; Enterobacteriaceae
Description: bacterial SSU rRNA
Rfam family: Bacterial small subunit ribosomal RNA
Source: RNAcentral